CAGUCGCCACGGGAACACGUAGGGUGCAAGCGUUAAUCGGAAUUACUGGGCGUAAAGCGUGCGCAGGCGGUUAUAUAAGACAGAUGUGAAAUCCCCGGGCUCAACCUGGGAACUGCAUUUGUGACUGUAUAGCUAGAGUACGGCAGAGGGGGAUGGAAUUCCGCGUGUAGCAGUGAAAUGCGUAGAUAUGCGGAGGAACACCGAUGGCGAAGGCAAUCCCCUGGGCCUGUACUGACGCUCAUGCACGAAAGCGUGGGGAGCAAACAGGAUUAGAUACCCCUGUAGUCCCUGUCUCUUAUAC
Molecule: ribosomal RNA, 301 nt
Filed under: uncultured bacterium
Lineage: Bacteria
Description: partial 16S ribosomal RNA
Rfam family: Bacterial small subunit ribosomal RNA
Source: RNAcentral